This 55-nucleotide ribosomal RNA is filed under the name Steinernema carpocapsae. RNAcentral describes it as "partial 28S ribosomal RNA". The record is from RNAcentral. Lineage: Eukaryota; Metazoa; Nematoda; Chromadorea; Rhabditida; Steinernematidae.
AGACCUCAAUUUGAGCAAGAUUACCCGCUGAACUUAAGCAUAUCAGUAAGCGGAG